UCACCUCUUCCCAUCCCGAACAGAGAAGUUAAGCCCGACUGCGCAGAUGGUACUGCAAUUUGUGGGAGAGUAUGUCGUCGCCUUUC
RNAcentral lists this ribosomal RNA (86 nucleotides) under Methylorubrum populi. Lineage: Bacteria; Pseudomonadati; Pseudomonadota; Alphaproteobacteria; Hyphomicrobiales; Methylobacteriaceae. The record is from RNAcentral.